CUAGUUAGGUUUCAGCAGUCAUCAGUGUAGUGAGACAUGGGACAUUUAGCACCUUGGACUUUACACUCUGGAUGUUCUGUCUGAUGCUGUCACUGUUAAUUUAAUCAACAGGAUGAAUGGUGAGAAAGCACUGAAACUAAGCUGCUGAUCUUAGACAACGAUCUGUAACCUGGACCUUCCUACAGUAGAAGCUUAUUGUGACUUCUGUUGUUAUCACGAAGCGAUAGAUUAACACAAUCAACCCGACGUCUUGGGCUCUAUGACCCAUAAUGCUUUCUUUAAUUGUGCCCGUUUCGCAGACCUUACACGGCCUGAUACGGAGGGAGCACAUUUGACCAUCCGUUAUGAGCUCCAGUCUCUGAUGGUCACUGUGUUUCCACUCCACAUGCCAAUCUUCCUCAGCUAUCUCAGGUUUGGCCCGUCAUCCUCGUCCACGAUUUUCAUCUGUAAGACUCAGCUGAGCAGCUGUGCCCUUGGACUGCCUGCAUGUCGGGAAACAGCUGUGGGGAUUCACGAUACCUUAACUAAUUCCACAUUCUGCCCUGAGGAAAGCCAGCCAUGUGAGAUCAUGGUUUAAGCGUGCAGUUUAAAUCAUCUCCCUCCUGACACCAAACCCCGACUCUGCCAACUUCUCCCUGUGUAUCCUGUGCAUCGCGACGCUGAGCCGUGGAAGUGGGACGUGUCUCUCCCUCUCUCUCUCUCUCUCUCUCUCCCUCUCUCUAUGAUCCAGUUUAUCUCACCCCUCCGGAUCCUCGUGGGGCUUUUGACCAAACGGUACCGAGUCCAACCUCACAUCAUGUAAACAGUGUUUUCAAAAAGAACAACACAAACAAGCUCACUCGUUUUGGAGUCGAAUAAGCUGCACCAAAAGACAUCUGGACUUCCUUUUCAUACCUUUUAUUUGCCCACAGUGACAUCUUGUGGUUGAACUUUGCAAUGACAGUACAAUACAUGCAGAACAUGCCACCAUAUGAGGAGGUUCUUUAACAUCAUAACUCCGCGCUUUAAAGGGAAAUCCCUGUAUUACUAUUAUUAUUUAAAUUUUAAUAAAUGUAACCAUAAAACAACAGUGUGCAACUAUUAGUGGUUUUUUUUUACAUUCUGUCUCUGUUUGGUCUUUGUGAACAGAGAUUAAGUAACAUUAUUUGUAUGAUGCUCUGUCAAGCAAUACCCAAAGGUAAAAAGAGUGCUGAAAUAUUCUACUCUGGUAAAAGUACCACUAUUUUCAUAAGAUUACUUAAGUACAAGUAAAAGUACUGGUCUAAAAUGUAAAAAAAAAAAAAGUAGCUCGUUCAAAAUGUGUCGUUUAAAAGUUGCUUUGUUACUUUUUUAACAAGGUUGGGGUUCUUUCUUGUGUCGUGCAAAAAGGACAAGGGGACACAAACCUCACAUUUAUUGUUUUCAAUUAAAGGCAAACCUUUACAAAUUAAAGUUCUGAUAAAAUAACAUGGAAACACAUAAUGUAUCAGUCAAAACAGGUCAAAGGUCACAAAUGCUUUAACUUUCACACUCACUCUAAUUCACUCCAAUUCACCUGUCCUUAUCGUUCACCUGUCCUCACAUUUACUCAGUAACGGAUGUGAUUUAAAACAAAGUGAAGUACAGUAUUCCA
This is a long non-coding RNA of Solea solea (common sole), 1612 nucleotides long. RefSeq lists it as uncharacterized. NCBI's taxonomy places the organism in Eukaryota, Metazoa, Chordata, Actinopteri, Pleuronectiformes, Soleidae. The record is from RefSeq and is a predicted model, not a curated record. The transcript is spliced from 3 exons.